RNAcentral lists this long non-coding RNA (3322 nucleotides) under Olea europaea subsp. europaea. Lineage: Eukaryota; Viridiplantae; Streptophyta; Magnoliopsida; Lamiales; Oleaceae. The record is from RNAcentral.
ACGAAGUACUGAUCAUGCCAUUACACUUAAGGAAGGAGCUGAACCAAUAAAUUUUAGGCCUUACCGAUACCCGCACCUUCAAAAGAAUGAGAUUGAGAAACUAGUGAAGGAGAUGCUGGCAGCAGGUUUAAUUCAAUUGAGCAUUAGACCAUUCUUGAGUUCAGUAUUACUUGUGAAAAAGAAGGACGGGAGCUAGCUUUUUUGUGUGGAUUAUCGGGCCCUCAACAUGGUUACCAUUCCAGACAGAUUCCCUAUUCCUGUGAUUGAUGAACUAUUGGAUGAACUCUAUGGAGCAACCAUCUUUUCCAAACUGGACUUGAAGUCUGGGUUCCACCAAAUCCGAGUACACAAGGAAGACAUACCUAAAACGACAUUACGAUCUCAUGUGGGGCACUAUGAGUUCCGGUCAUGCCAUUCAGACUCAUCAACGCAGCUGCCACCUUCCAAUCGCUCAUGAAUUAGGUUUUCUGAGCAUUUAUAUGGAAGUUUAUCUUGGUAUUCUUCAACGACAUCUUGAUCUACAGCAAGGACCUCGAUUCACAUGUCCAGCACCUAGAGGCGACGUUUAACGCUUUAAAAUACAUCAGCUAUAUGCAAAUAUCAAAGAGUGCCAAUUUGCUGAACCAAGGAUUGAGUACUUGGGCCAUUUAGUAUCAGUUGAAUGAGUAGCUGCUGACCCAAGCAAGAUUGUCGCAAUGGUUCAAUGGCCGACACCAUAGACGCUCAGGGAGCUCCGCGGUUUAUUGGGAUGAACAUGAUAUUACCGGUGUUUUGUCACUGGAUAUGGGGCAAUCUCUUGGCCUUUCACACAGCAACUCAAAAAAGAUGUUUUUGGAUGGACACUGGAGGCUGAGGAAGCAUUUCAAAGGCUUAAGAAAGCCAUGUCCACAGUACCAAUUUUCGCUCUGCCAGAGUUCUCAAAAGAAUUUGUGAUCGAGGCCAACGCGUCAAGAUAUGGGUUAGGAGCAGUACUGAUACAGAACCAGCGGUCGAUUGCUUAUUUUAGUCAAGUUAUGUCUCUCUGAUCACAGUAGAAAUCGGUGUAUGAAAGGGAGUUGAUGGCAAUAGUAUUAUCCAUACAAAAAAGGAGACACUACUUAUGGGGUGUCGGUUCAUUGUGAAAACCGACCAAUGCAGCCUCAGAUACAUGCUGUAGUAGAGGGUAAUACCGGGAGAAUUUCAACAAUGGGUAGCCAAGUUAAUGGGCCACGACUUCGAGAUUCAAUAUCGACUCGGAAUCGAGAACAAAGUAGCAGAAGCUUUAUCGUGGGUCCCUGCUCAAGUUGAACUUGUAGCGAUCACAUGCCCGGUGGAGAUUGACUUAUCAUCAAUGUUGGAACAGAUUGAGGAAGAUCCAAGGUUGGCCAAAAUCAAGAGGGAACUUCAAAGUGAUCCAGACUCACACCCACAUUAUUCAUUGGACCAGGGUCGGCUACUGUAUAAAGGGCGCAUAAUUCUACCUAGUUCAUUUACCUUGAUCCCAACCUUACUUCAUGAGUAUCACAGCAGCCCAGUAAGGGGGCACUCAGGAUUUCUUCGAACAUACAAGUGGCUAACUAGUAAUCUAUAUUGGUGGGGCAUGAAAAACGACAUUAAGAAGUUUGUGGAAGAAUGCUCAAUAUGCCAACAGAACAAGAGUUUGUCCCUAUCACCUAUAAGACUCCUUCAGCCUUUGCACAUUCCUAAUCUAGUGUGGAAAGAUAUAUCAAUGGAUUUCAUCAAAGGCCUGACUUGAGGGUGUGACUCAAUAUUGGUAGUUGUUGACCGACUAAGCAAGUAUGGCCACUUCCUUCCUCUUAAGCACCCAUUCAUAGCAGCAGGAGUUGCAUCAAUUUUUGUCAAAGAAGUGGUAAUACUCCACGGCAUUCCACGCUCCAUCGUGUCUGAUCGGGAUAAGAUAUAUUUGAGUCAUUUUUGGACAGAUUUAUUUAGACUACAGGGGACAUUUCUACGAUGCAGCACAGCUUAUCAUCCCCAGACAGAUGGUUAGACAGAGGUUGUCAACAGAUGUGUAGAAACGUAUCUUAGAUGUUUUACAUAUGACAAGCCGCGAACUUGAUGCAGAUGGUUACCAUGGGCCAAAUAUUGGUAUAAUACUACCUUUCACACCUCUACGAACACUACUCCUUUUCGAGCUAUAUAUGGAAGGGAUCCCCUCAUUGAUCCAUUAUGGCAACUUAAAGACAAUAAUUGCUUCAGUUGAUUAGCAGCUGAAGGAGAGGGACAUGAUAUUGGAUGAACUAAAGGUACAUUUCCUAUAGGCUCAAACUAGGAUGAAGAAGGAGGCAGACCAAUGUCGAAGAGACGUUCAGUUCAGCGAGGAAGACUUGGUCUAUGUGAAGUUAUGUCCCUAUCGCCUGCAGUCUCUGGCAAAGAAACCAAACGAGAAGUUAGGUCCAAAGUUUUUUGGUCCCUUCAAAAUAAUCAACCGUAUAGGGCCAGUUGCAUUCCAUUUGGAGCUACCAUCUGAUGCCACCAUACACCCAGUCUUUAAUGUGUCAUAACUCAGAAGGGCACUUGGGAAGACAAAUACUUGUCUGUAGAUUUCGGCCCAUGUGGAUGCAUUGCUAGAGUGGAUGGUCGAGCCUAACAAAGUCCUGGAAGUACGCCAAGCUGCUGCAACACCACCUCCAGGAAAAGAGUUACUUAUACAAUGGAAGGGUCUCCCUGCUUUUGAAGUUUUCUGGGAGCCAGCUGCAUCUAUCAUUCAACACUUUCCUCAACUUCACCUUGAGGACAAGGUGGUUUUGGAAACCGAGGAUAAUGAUAACUCCCUAUCCGGUUCACAUACUCUAGAAGGCCCAAGAAAAUGGGUGUAUUGAGUGGAGGGAAGCAGAAAACAGAAUGAUGUUGAGGGAGGGAAAAGUGGUUAGGAAAUCAGUUAGAACGAAAGUUAAAAAUAAGAGGCUAGUAUGGUAGAAAAAGGCAGAAAAAGAAAAAGAAUUUGAGAGAUGUUUGUGGAUACCUUCAAAUAUGUCAUAAAAUAUGGUUUCUUCUCCAAAGAAUUCAUCGGAGAGAAGGUAUUUGGAAGAUGACAAGCUAAACAUAUUUAAAUGCGUGUAUACUCCUAUACACUACACUCAUAUAAUCAUCAAUAAAAUUCAAUAACAAAGGAAAGGAGAAAACUAGAUAGUGCUCUAAAGUAGCAGUAUCCAUAAGCAACUUAUGCAAGCUUCUGAAAGGACUUCAUAAGGAUACUUUUGGAGCUGGCUUCAGCUAUAUGUGGAAUCAAUGCAGGUUCAUCUAUUUCUUGGAAAAGAGACUAGAAUAGUCAAUUAUAUUACACUGGAGAAAAGAGAUAGGAAAUUUGUUUCAGUUUUGC